This 254-nucleotide ribosomal RNA is filed under the name uncultured bacterium. RNAcentral describes it as "partial 16S ribosomal RNA". It matches the Rfam family "Bacterial small subunit ribosomal RNA", at positions 524 to 776 of the family's 1533-position model. The record is from RNAcentral.
GACGUAGGGCGCGAGCGUUGUCCGGAUUUAUUGGGCGUAAAGAGCUCGUAGGCGGUCUGUCGCGUCUGCUGUGAAAACUCAGGGCUUAACCCUGAGCUUGCAGUGGGUACGGGCAGACUAGAGUGCGGUAGGGGAGACUGGAAUUCCUGGUGUAGCGGUGAAAUGCGCAGAUAUCAGGAGGAACACCGGUGGCGAAGGCGGGUCUCUGGGCCGUAACUGACGCUGGAGGAGCGAAAGCAUGGGGAGCGAACAGG